Molecule: ribosomal RNA, 429 nt
Filed under: Chloroflexota bacterium
Lineage: Bacteria; Bacillati; Chloroflexota
Description: Chloroflexi bacterium partial 16S ribosomal RNA
Rfam family: Bacterial small subunit ribosomal RNA
Source: RNAcentral
UGGGGAAUAUUGCACAAUGGGCGCAAGCCUGAUGCAGCCAUGCCGCGUGUAUGAAGAAGGCCUUCGGGUUGUAAAGUACUUUCAGCGGGGAGGAAGGGAGUAAAGUUAAUACCUUUGCUCAUUGACGUUACCCGCAGAAGAAGCACCGGCUAACUCCGUGCCAGCAGCCGCGGUAAUACGGAGGGUGCAAGCGUUAAUCGGAAUUACUGGGCGUAAAGCGCACGCAGGCGGUUUGUUAAGUCAGAUGUGAAAUCCUCGGGCUCAACCUGGGAAAUGCAUCUGGUACUGGGGAGGUUGAGUCUCGUAGAGGGGGGUAGGAAUCCAAGUGGAGCGGGGGAAAGCGUAGAGGUCUGGAGGAAUACCGGUGGCGGAGGCGGCCCCCUUGGCGGAGACUGGCGGUCCAGUGGGGAAAGGUGGGGAGCAAACAGG